AAGGACGAACGCUGGCGGCAUGCCUAACACAUGCAAGUCGAACGGGGGUAGCAAUACCCUAGUGGCGAACGGGUGAGUAACACAUAAGCAAUCUGCCCUUCACAGGGGGAUAACAGCGGGAAACUGCUGCUAAUACCGCAUAAGACCACGGUACCGCAUGGUACAGGGGUAAAAACGAAUCAGUGGUGAAGGAUGAGCUUAUGUCCCAUUAGCUAGUUGGUGAGAUAACAGCCCACCCAAGGCGACGAUGGGUAGCCGACCUGAGAGGGUGAUCGGCCACACUGGAACUGAGACACGGUCCAGACUCCUACGGGAGGCAGCAGUGGGGAAUAUUGGGCAAUGGAGGAAACUCCUUACCCAGCAAUGCCGCGUGAGUGAAGAAGGUCUUCGGAUUGUAAAGCUCUUUGAUUGGGGGCGAAGAAAGUGACGGUACCCAAAGAACAAGCCCCGGCUAACUACGUGCCAGCAGCAGC
This 473-nucleotide ribosomal RNA is filed under the name uncultured bacterium. Its description in RNAcentral is "bacterial SSU rRNA". It matches the Rfam family "Bacterial small subunit ribosomal RNA", at positions 26 to 518 of the family's 1533-position model. The record is from RNAcentral.